This 815-nucleotide long non-coding RNA is filed under the name Capra hircus (goat). RNAcentral's name for it is "lncRNA (ENSCHIG00000005113.1)". The record is from RNAcentral. Lineage: Eukaryota; Metazoa; Chordata; Mammalia; Artiodactyla; Bovidae.
AUCACAAUUUGGCUUUUUGUCCAAAACUCAUGAAUGUGGAUCUUCACAAAUACCAGAGAGAGAGAUUAGAAAGAGUGAAUCUGACCCCCAGAAUCAAGGCUGGUCUUUAUUUAGAGCUGGGAGACCUGGGGAGAGCAGAGGCAAAGGUGGGAACAUCAAGUCCUGAGGAGGAGACGUAAGCCAAGAGUCAACAUCAUUGAGGGUGAUUUGGAGUCUGAGACAAAGGUUGCACCAUGGGCUGAUAAAAGCUGACAAUUCCAGACACCUAAAAUAGAGAACUAAGAUCUUGCAAGCUGCACGGUGCAGCAGAAAAAGAAAAAAAGACAUGUCUUUGCUCCUGACUGGGGAAAGGAAAGAAAAUCUGAAAUGCUUUUCUUCUCCAUGGAGGAUGGAGAUAUUUCUCUUCAUCCAAAAUGAAAUGAGUGGAACUUGGAAUGGCUACAUCACUCCCAGCCUGUAUUGGAGGAGCCAGACUGAAAGAACAUCAGCCUCAAAAAACCACUCGCAUAUUUGCAGAAAUCACUAUGUUGGUAGAUAUGUCAGCAACAAAUGGAGUUAGCUGAGUCAUGCCUGUGAUACAUAUCAAAGAUGCCUGGAUCUGAACUGGACAGAGGCAGAGUGCAGUAGUAAUAAAUCGAUUUUGGCCUUCAUUUUUGCUUCUCUGAAAGGAGACAUACAUUUGGUCCAUUGUUUACCUCCUUAAAAGAAAUAAAGUGUGGUCACAACUCAUCUGAGAACCUGCAAUCUAUUGCUAAGCCUAUUGCUAUUCUUUUUAAGAAAGAUGAAUCAGAGAGCUUUGAGGGGAAGAGGGGGCA